Molecule: non-coding RNA, 110 nt
Filed under: uncultured Intestinibacter sp.
Lineage: Bacteria; Bacillati; Bacillota; Clostridia; Peptostreptococcales; Peptostreptococcaceae
Description: FMN riboswitch (RFN element)
Rfam family: FMN riboswitch aptamer (RFN element)
About the family: The RFN element is a highly conserved domain that is found frequently in the 5'-untranslated regions of prokaryotic mRNAs that encode for flavin mononucleotide (FMN) biosynthesis and transport proteins.
Source: RNAcentral
AUCUUCGGGGCAGGGUGAGAUUCCCUACCGGCGGUAAAGCCCGCGAGCUAUUUAAUUAGUUGAUUUGGUGAAAUUCCAAAGCCGACAGUAGAGUCUGGAUGAGAGAAGAG